RNAcentral lists this ribosomal RNA (464 nucleotides) under uncultured bacterium. Its description in RNAcentral is "bacterial SSU rRNA". It matches the Rfam family "Bacterial small subunit ribosomal RNA", at positions 338 to 795 of the family's 1533-position model. The record is from RNAcentral.
CCUACGGGAUGCACCAGUGGGGAAUAUUGCACAAUGGGCGCAAGCCUGAUGCAGCCAUGCCGCGUGUAUGAAGAAGGCCUUCGGGUUGUAAAGUACUUUCAGCGGGGAGGAAGGUGUUGUGGUUAAUAACCACAGCAAUUGACGUUACCCGCAGAAGAAGCACCGGCUAACUCCGUGCCAGCAGCCGCGGUAAUACGGAGGGUGCAAGCGUUAAUCGGAAUUACUGGGCGUAAAGCGCACGCAGGCGGUUGAUUAAGUUAGAUGUGAAAUCCCCGGGCUUAACCUGGGAAUGGCAUCUAAGACUGGUCAGCUAGAGUCUUGUAGAGGGGGGUAGAAUUCCAUGUGUAGCGGUGAAAUGCGUAGAGAUGUGGAGGAAUACCGGUGGCGAAGGCGGCCCCCUGACAAAGACUGACGCUCAGGUGCGAAAGCGUGGGGAGCAAACAGGAUUAGAUACCCCCGUAGUC